RNAcentral lists this transfer RNA (75 nucleotides) under Agrococcus sediminis. Its description in RNAcentral is "Agrococcus sp. NS18 tRNA-Thr". It matches the Rfam family "tRNA". From Rfam's summary of the family: Transfer RNA (tRNA) molecules are approximately 80 nucleotides in length. Their secondary structure includes four short double-helical elements and three loops (D, anti-codon, and T loops). Further hydrogen bonds mediate the characteristic L-shaped molecular structure. tRNAs have two regions of fundamental functional importance: the anti-codon, which is responsible for specific mRNA codon recognition, and the 3' end, to which the tRNAs corresponding amino acid is attached (by aminoacyl-tRNA synthetases). tRNAs cope with the degeneracy of the genetic code in two manners: having more than one tRNA (with a specific anti-codon) for a particular amino acid; and 'wobble' base-pairing, i.e. permitting non-standard base-pairing at the 3rd anti-codon position. Lineage: Bacteria; Bacillati; Actinomycetota; Actinomycetes; Micrococcales; Microbacteriaceae. The record is from RNAcentral. RNAcentral also lists the same sequence under 1 other name.
GCCUCCUUAGCUCAGUGGUAGAGCAACGCUCUUGUAAAGCGUAGGUCGUCAGUUCGAUCCUGACAGGGGGCUCCA